RNAcentral lists this ribosomal RNA (446 nucleotides) under uncultured bacterium. Its description in RNAcentral is "partial 16S ribosomal RNA". It matches the Rfam family "Bacterial small subunit ribosomal RNA", at positions 338 to 795 of the family's 1533-position model. The record is from RNAcentral.
CCUACGGGAGGCUGCAGUCGAGAAUCAUUCACAAUGGGGGAAACCCUGAUGGUGCGACGCCGCGUGGGGGAAUGAAGGUCUUCGGAUUGUAAACCCCUGUCAUGUGGGAGCAAAUUAAAAAGAUAGUACCCCAAGAGGCAGAGACGGCUAACUCUGUGCCAGCAGCCGCGGUAAUACAGAGGUCUCAAGCGUUGUUCGGAAUCACUGGGCGUAAAGCGUGCGUAGGCUGUUUCGUAAGUCGUGUGUGAAAGGCGCGGGCUCAACCCGCGGACGGCACAUGAUACUGCGAGACUAGAGUAAUGGAGGGGGAACCGGAAUUCUCGGUGUAGCAGUGAAAUGCGUAGAUAUCGAGAGGAACACUCGUGGCGAAGGCGGGUUCCUGGACAUUAACUGACGCUGAGGCACGAAGGCCAGGGGAGCGAAAGGGAUUAGAUACCCCUGUAGUC